GUAGCGUAAUCAUUUGGUUUUUAAUAGAAAUCUGGAAUGAAAGGUCAAACAAAUAUUAGUUUCUUGUCUGUAGGGAGUGAAUUUAAGAUUGGAGUAAAAACGCUUUAAUUUUUUGUGGGACGAUAAGACCCUAAAAGCUUUAUUUUAAAUAAUAAUAUAUUUUUAGUGGUUAAUAUAACUAUAAAUUGGUUGGGGUAAUGACUCUAAAUAUAUUAGAGUGUGGUUUUAUAGUAUAAUUAGGCAAAUAUCCUUAUUAUUAGGACAAUAAUUGUAGUUACUUUAGGGGUAACAGGGUAAUUAUUUUAUAGAGAUCUUAUUUAUAGAAUAGAUUGCCACCUCGAUGUUGAAUUAAAAUAUCAGCGGGAUGAAAAAAGUUCGUUUUGAGGGUUUGUUCAACCUUUAAUUUUUU
Molecule: ribosomal RNA, 409 nt
Filed under: Jesogammarus bousfieldi
Lineage: Eukaryota; Metazoa; Arthropoda; Malacostraca; Amphipoda; Anisogammaridae
Description: partial 16S ribosomal RNA
Source: RNAcentral